This 310-nucleotide unclassified non-coding RNA is filed under the name uncultured Gymnopilus. Its description in RNAcentral is "sequence contains ITS2". The stretch from base 1 to 52 matches the Rfam family "5.8S ribosomal RNA", at positions 103 to 154 of the family's 154-position model. Lineage: Eukaryota; Fungi; Basidiomycota; Agaricomycetes; Agaricales; Cortinariaceae. The record is from RNAcentral.
AACGCACCUUGCGCCCCUUGGUAUUCCGAGGGGCAUGCCUGUUUGAGUGUCAUUAAAUUCUCAACCUUACUAGCUUUUAUGAGCAAUGUAAUGGCUUGGAUGUGGGGGUCUUUUUUUGCUGGCUUCGAAAGAAAUCAGCUCCCCUAAAAUGUAUUAGCUGGUGCCCCCGUGUGGACUAUCUACUGGUGUGAUAAUUAUCUAUGCCGUUAGAUGUCUGCUUUAAAUAGGGAUGUGCUGCUUCUAAUUGUCCACUUAGGACACUUAUUGACUAUUUGACCUCAAAUCAGGUAGGACUACCCGCUGAACUUAA